CUGGCCUUUCAGCCUUUAUGGCUGAAAUCAACUGUCGUAUCUGUUCUUAUCAGUUAAAUGUCUACAUGUCCUCAAUCAUAGGACCAUAUAUUAAGAGAUGGAAUAGGACACUGUUCCAUCCACUACACACAUCAACCUGGAAUUCUUGUAUUUCUAGGAAUGGGUGUAACCUUC
RNAcentral lists this small nuclear RNA (174 nucleotides) under Castor canadensis (American beaver). RNAcentral describes it as "U2 spliceosomal RNA (ENSCCNG00000031105.1)". It matches the Rfam family "U2 spliceosomal RNA". Rfam says of the family: U2 is a small nuclear RNA (snRNA) component of the spliceosome (involved in pre-mRNA splicing). Complementary binding between U2 snRNA (in an area lying towards the 5' end but 3' to hairpin I) and the branchpoint sequence (BPS) of the intron results the bulging out of an unpaired adenosine, on the BPS, which initiates a nucleophilic attack at the intronic 5' splice site, thus starting the first of two transesterification reactions that mediate splicing. The record is from Rfam by way of RNAcentral. Lineage: Eukaryota; Metazoa; Chordata; Mammalia; Rodentia; Castoridae.